RNAcentral lists this non-coding RNA (89 nucleotides) under unclassified sequences. The record is from RNAcentral.
UACUUACUGCCACCGGGUAGUCUGCUUUAGAGCAUUCGUUUGUAUAUCGUUAGGUCUUAGAAGAUAUGCAUUGCGGGUGUUUUUAUUUU